AUGGCGACACAGGACGAACGAAGCAGGACGCGCGGGGGAAAGGAACCGGUGGAAGAUCUCCUGAGCCGCCUGGAACUCCAUGAGGAUGAGGAGGAACAGUUUGUUUGGGAUGAAGAAUUCGAGGAUGAGAAGAUCGAAGCCAAGUGGCUGGCGAUAGCGAAAGUGCACAUGAACAACGGUUUCAGCCCCUCGGCUCUGUAUGGUGAUAUGAGAUCAGCGUGGAACCCAGCCAGAGAUGUCCGUUGGCGCAGAAUAGAUGAGAACCUGUUUACGGUACAGUUUGGUUGCUUGGGUGAUUGG
Molecule: ribosomal RNA, 300 nt
Filed under: Triticum aestivum (bread wheat)
Lineage: Eukaryota; Viridiplantae; Streptophyta; Magnoliopsida; Poales; Poaceae
Description: partial small subunit ribosomal RNA
Source: RNAcentral